This 46-nucleotide non-coding RNA is filed under the name Xyrichtys novacula (pearly razorfish). It matches the Rfam family "Histone 3' UTR stem-loop". Rfam says of the family: The mRNAs of metazoan histone genes lack a poly-A tail. Lineage: Eukaryota; Metazoa; Chordata; Actinopteri; Labriformes; Labridae. The record is from RNAcentral.
ACAAAGGUCCUUUUCAGGGCCACCCACAGUCUCAGUUGAGAGAGCU